RNAcentral lists this transfer RNA (94 nucleotides) under Alienimonas californiensis. RNAcentral describes it as "Planctomycetes bacterium CA12 tRNA-Ala". The record is from RNAcentral. Lineage: Bacteria; Pseudomonadati; Planctomycetota; Planctomycetia; Planctomycetales; Planctomycetaceae.
CGAGGGGUGGACGGGCGUGGGCGACGCGGCCCGUUGGCGGCGGGCGACGGGGUGGGCGGCGUCUGGGGCGGAGUUCGCCUCCCUCUCCUCAGCC